Molecule: ribosomal RNA, 253 nt
Filed under: uncultured bacterium
Lineage: Bacteria
Description: partial 16S ribosomal RNA
Rfam family: Bacterial small subunit ribosomal RNA
Source: RNAcentral
UACGUAGGGUGCGAGCGUUAAUCGGAAUUACUGGGCGUAAAGCGUGCGCAGGCGGUUCGUUAAGACAGAUGUGAAAUCCCCGGGCUUAACCUGGGAACUGCAUUUGUGACUGGCGAGCUAGAGUAUGGCAGAGGGGGGUAGAAUUCCACGUGUAGCAGUGAAAUGCGUAGAGAUGUGGAGGAAUACCGAUGGCGAAGGCAGCCCCCUGGGCCAAUACUGACGCUCAUGCACGAAAUCGUAGGGAGCAAACAGG